RNAcentral lists this ribosomal RNA (39 nucleotides) under Phellinus membranaceus. RNAcentral describes it as "partial 28S ribosomal RNA". The record is from RNAcentral. Lineage: Eukaryota; Fungi; Basidiomycota; Agaricomycetes; Hymenochaetales; Hymenochaetaceae.
UUUGACCUCAAAUCGGGUAGGAUUACCCGCUGAACUUAA